RNAcentral lists this ribosomal RNA (450 nucleotides) under uncultured bacterium. RNAcentral's name for it is "partial 16S ribosomal RNA". It matches the Rfam family "Bacterial small subunit ribosomal RNA", at positions 338 to 795 of the family's 1533-position model. The record is from RNAcentral.
CCUACGGGAGGUAGCAGUAAGGAAUAUUGGUCAAUGGAGGAAACUCUGAACCAGCCAUCCCGCGUGAAGGAUGAAGGGGCUCUGCCUUGUAAACUUCUUUUGUCUGGGGCGAAAAAGCUCGAUUUAUCGAGAACUGACGGUACCAGAAGAAUAAGCACCGGCUAACUCCGUGCCAGCAGCCGCGGUAAUACGGAGGGUGCAAGAAUUACUGGGUUUCACUGGUGCGUAGGGGGCUUAGUAAGGCUUUGGUGAAAGGCUGUGGCUUAACCAUGGAAUUGCCAUUGAUACUGCAGAGCUUGAAUGAGGUUGAGGUUGGCGGAAUGUGACAUGUAGCGGUGAAAUGCUUAGAUAUGUCAUGGAACACCGAUUGCGAAGGCAGCUGACUGGACCUAUAUUGACGCUGAGGCACGAAAGCGUGGGGAGCGAACAGGAUUAGAUACCCCAGUAGUC